RNAcentral lists this ribosomal RNA (253 nucleotides) under uncultured bacterium. RNAcentral's name for it is "partial 16S ribosomal RNA". It matches the Rfam family "Bacterial small subunit ribosomal RNA", at positions 524 to 776 of the family's 1533-position model. The record is from RNAcentral.
UACGAAGGGGGCUAGCGUUGUUCGGAAUUACUGGGCGUAAAGCGCACGUAGGCGGAUAUUUAAGUCAGGGGUGAGAUCCCGCAGCUCAACUGCGGAACUGCCUUUGAUACUGGGUAUCUUGAGUAUGGAAGAGGUAAGUGGAAUUCCGAGUGUAGAGGUGAAAUUCGUAGAUAUUCGGAGGAACACCAGUGGCGAAGGCGGCUUACUGGUCCAUUACUGACGCUGAGACGCGAAAGCGUGGGGAGCAAACAGG